Diospyros lotus (date-plum) is the source of this 107-nucleotide small nucleolar RNA. NCBI's taxonomy places the organism in Eukaryota, Viridiplantae, Streptophyta, Magnoliopsida, Ericales, Ebenaceae. The record is from RefSeq and is a predicted model, not a curated record.
AGUCCAUGGUGAGGAUGUUUCUUAAGAAAUUCCUUAAAUCUAUCCUAUGACUCAUAUAAAGAUUCAUUACCAAAUUGUGAAAAAGUUGUUAUGUUAUUCCUUAAUUU